CAGUAGCCACGGUAAUACAGAGGAUGCAAGUGUUAUCCGGAAUGAUUGGGCGUAAAGCGUCUGUAGGUGGCUUUUCAAGUCUGUUGUCAAAUCCCAGGGCUCAACCCUGGACAGGCGGUGGAAACUACCAAGCUGGAGUACGGAAGGGGCAGAGGGAAUUUCCGGUGGAGCGGUGAAAUGCGUUGAGAUCGGAAAGAACACCAUUGGCGAAAGCACUCUACUGGGCCGACACUGACAUUGAGAGACGAAAGCUAGGGGAGCAAAUGGGAUUAGAUACCCCUGUAGUCCCUGUCUCUUAUAC
This 301-nucleotide ribosomal RNA is filed under the name uncultured bacterium. RNAcentral's name for it is "partial 16S ribosomal RNA". It matches the Rfam family "Bacterial small subunit ribosomal RNA", at positions 509 to 807 of the family's 1533-position model. The record is from RNAcentral.